UUUAGUACCUUGUACCGAAUAGACAUCAAAAUUUUGAUUAAUGGUAACCUUGACUCUUCAUCAUUCUGGCAGGUCAGUUCUUAUUAAUGAAACUGAUUAAACCAACAAUUCGGCAUUCGGAAAUGCUUCGUUAAACUUUUAAUAGUUGACAGACAAAACUCCUCUAAAGUUGAAAGGCAAAAUCUAAAUAGAAAGCCACUUUUCUCAUUUAUUGACAAAUUAGGUUGGGAACAAGGGACAGAACGAUACAAUCCAAUCGCUGUUUUAAGGACGUAGUCGUGCAAAAGGGAAUUGAUAAAAUGGCAAAUGGUUUUCCAGUCCUUUGCUUCCGCUAUGUCUAAACGAUCGCCCGUGACUGUGAUGGAAAAUUUCCAGUUGACAAAGUUGAAAGAUACUUCUAUCUAAAUUGGCACAAGAAAGAAAACUGGGUAUAAACUCUAAAAGCCAUCGAUCUCGCAAUGAGUUUAAAAGCUUUUUAUUCCGGUGUCGCAACACUCGACAUGGUUUAAUUGUGCUGAUACUUUUAAAUAAAGAAAUAUCAAAGAAAUGCAAUCAUCAAGCAAGUGUGAUCGAUGGCCAAUAAGAACAAAAAAACGCUGUUUUACUCAGCUCUCGCGGACUAUGCUUUUCCAAUUCAUUUAGGGGAACAUUUAGAAGUUUUAGACAAGUUGGUAAAUUUGAUAGAUUGUUACUUAAAUAUGAAAAUGUCAUUCAAGCUUUUAUUUAAGUUUGUUUCAGCAUUAUUACUAAACAGAUUAAUUAUUUCUCGUUUGACUCUAAAUAAAUAUUUUGGGGGGUUUUUUCUUAA
Long non-coding RNA from Dendroctonus ponderosae (mountain pine beetle), 808 nucleotides. RefSeq lists it as uncharacterized. The transcript has 2 exons. NCBI's taxonomy places the organism in Eukaryota, Metazoa, Arthropoda, Insecta, Coleoptera, Curculionidae. The record is from RefSeq and is a predicted model, not a curated record.